CAAGCAUAAACGCCACCGGCAACGGGAGUUUCCAAAAUCCAAACAAAUGUUGGAAGAUAUUCUUAAGCUUAUUUAUAUAUACUUUUCUAUAUGAAAAUAAAAUUGGACUACACCAACAAAGGUUCUGUGUUUUGCACCAGAUUGAAAGCAUCAUAGCGAAAAACGGACCUGUCAUAUCUUUAAAUUUCCUAAAGAGCCCCUGGAAAUAGUGAAAUGAUCUCUGCUAAGGAAUUCUAAGGCAAAUGGAUAAAAAACCUUCAGUCCAUGCAUUGGUAUGUAAUUGUUGACAAAAAUACAAUUAAUGGCCUCUUUACUUUUCCACAUGCAAAGAGGUUAACCAAGGAGAAAUUGUCAAAAAUCUAGGUAAAUACAGAAUUGCUUAGUACAAACUAUACCCAGUACCAGUUCGUCCACUUCUUUGAAGCAUGGUACUUCAAACAGAGAAACUGUCAACAAUUCGGUAGAAGGUGAGCUGGUGUCAAAUUUCAGUAAGGGACAUGAUUUCAACUUUGCACCAACAGCAGACCCGAAAUUAAUUUUGCUGCAAAAAGUUGGAGGAUGUGAAAGAAAAAAGUGCAGAAGUUAAAAUUAAAUUUUUCAUAUGAGCACCUAAAAAAUAAUCAUGACAAAAUUCAGUUGUAUACAGGUUUGACAUGUAGCCCUAUGGAAAAAUGUAAAUUUUUUAUUUUUCUAUCCUGCACUACUUCAGAGUACCUUUAAAAAAGGUUAUUACCAAUUUGACUCUAAAAUGAACAGAAACCCUAUUUCUUUGCAAUUUUCGAUUUUGGAACAAAAUCCGGGUCAAAAUGACCAUUUUUUCAAAAUAUGCUCCGAAUUCAAAAUUUCUUUUUUCUACUUAAAGACGACUUAAAAGGUAGUAAAAAAGCUUUAUGACAAAUUUUUCCACGAUUUAUACUAGUGCCACAAUAUAAAUAGAAAAAUUAGGUCCCAUAAGAAUUCAUGUUUAGGGAUAAGAAAACCGGGUUUUUUCGUGGAUUUUUUUGAUUUUUUAGUUUCAUUUUUGAGAGCCAAUAGUAAUAAAAUAUCAAAAGAGUUGACAGGAGAAGAAUAAGAAAUAAAAGAAACCAUAAACGAAUUGAAUCGAAGCUGUAGAAGCCGAGAUAUAAGUAAAAAUGUGGGAAAAAUAAAAGAAAACUUCCUUUUUCCCACCGUACAAUUUUUUUUUUCUAAAAUGAUUGUUAGCAAAUUUUAAAGUAAGCCUUAAACUAACAAUUCCUAGUAAAAAAACUCAUUAAAAAAAACAUUUUUUUUUGGUCGAAAAUCGAAAGGGAUAUACCCACGAAAAAUUUCGAAAAAAUGAUUUUUAUUGUUUUCUAAAUUAACUGUAAGUCUGAGAACCUUUUGCUUCAAACAAAAGUUCUCAGGAAUAUUACGAGAAAUCUGUCUGUCGAAAUGAAUAGGUUCUAGCUAUUAUAGAAUCGGAGAAAAUUGGAAAAAACUAGUAAACAUAAAUAUCGAAUUAUCAGGACCCCUAUGGAAAAAUUUCAAUUUUUUAUUUUUAAUCCUGUACUACUUCAGAAUACCUUUAAAAAAAGUUAUUACCAAUUUGACUCUAAAAUAAACAGAAAACCUAUUUCUUUGCAUUUUUCGAUUUUCGAACAAAAUCCGGGGUCAAAAUGACCAUUUUUUCAAAAUAUGCUCCGAAUUUAAAAUUUCUUUUUUCUGCUUAAAGACGACUUAAAAAGUAGUAAAAAAGCUUCAUGACAAAUUAUUCCACGAUUCAUACGAGUGCCACAAUCUAAAGAGAAAGAUCAGGUUCCAUAUAAGAAGCAAUGUAUUAGGAUAAGAAAAACAAACCCCUUUUUUUCCUUGUUUUUUUUUGUAUUUUUAUUUUAAAAGGCAAUUUUAAUAAAAUUUUAAAAAAUGUAAAGAAAAAAAAAUUAAUAAAAACAUUUAUCAACUUAUUGAAUAGAAGCUAUAAAAGCCGUGAUAUCAGUAACAUAGUAAAAAAAUACAAAAAAUACACCUUUUUUUGAAACCGCA
Molecule: long non-coding RNA, 2004 nt
Filed under: Anthonomus grandis grandis
Lineage: Eukaryota; Metazoa; Arthropoda; Insecta; Coleoptera; Curculionidae
Description: uncharacterized LOC126737729
Source: RNAcentral